Arvicola amphibius (Eurasian water vole) is the source of this 4653-nucleotide RNA transcript. RefSeq lists it as uncharacterized. NCBI's taxonomy places the organism in Eukaryota, Metazoa, Chordata, Mammalia, Rodentia, Cricetidae. The transcript is spliced from 4 exons. The record is from RefSeq and is a predicted model, not a curated record.
GGCACAUUACACAAUGGGAGAGGAAGUCCAGAGGCAGACAGAGGGACUAAUAGAGAAGACUCUGGCGUUGGCAGCCUAUGCAUUAUUAUUCUUUAAGGUAACAAGAAAAACGGUAUUGAUCCUGGAUGGAGAACUUGGGCUUGGCUCUGCCCCGGGCUGUGGGAGGUUUCUGGACUUCCAAAAUCCAGAGAAUAAUUCAACCUCAAACCCUGAGCCUUCCUACCAUAAAGUCUGACUCUUGGGAGUGGCUUCUGGUACCCAGCUGAGCUUCCUGCCCCACCUGUAAUCAGGCACCAGCUUCUGCUGCAAGCUUCACCUAUAUAGCUCUUGGCCCAGAAUGGAAUUGCAUUUUCCCUUACUUGACAGAUAUCAGAAUACUUUGAGAUGGAUAUUGGCCUCCAGCUCACAGAUGAAGACUCUGGAGAGCUCGUGCCGUCAGGUGGCAGAGACACAUCUUUGCUCCUUCAGGAUCUGAGUCUGGGUCCUAAACCACACGACCACAUUGGUGGCUGGAGAGACAUUACUAAGAAGGCAGGCACUGUGGUUGGCAGAUGGCAACAGGGAUGUGGGAACCAGUCCAAGCCCAGAUGGGACAGUCAACCUCAGCAAGGUUCCUGCCCAACCGGGGAGUGGCUGCCAUGAAUGCCGAGGACAUCCACUGGAGGCAGAUCUGCCAGGACAGAGAGGGGCCCUCUCAGGCCAGGUACCUAUUUUCAUUAUCAAGGCUACAUUCCUAGAAUACCUCGGUUUCCAGGCGCUCAUUACCGGAGGAUCAAAGUGCCAAAGGAAAAUACUCAUUUGAAGCUAAGACCUGGAUUUUUCAUUUUCAUAAUUGGUCGUUAAAUCUGCACGCUCCAAGGGCACAGAUAGAAGGGCACUGUUGGACAAAGUACCUCUAUGGCAGCCCAGUGGCCCACGGGGGAGGGUGGAGCCAGUGCCUGUAAGACCUAGAAGGCUAGUUUUCUACCCACUGCAGCUGGUCUGACUUGUCAGCCCAUGGACAAGAAGGAGAGGUCUGUCCCAAAUACUGAAAACUAUAGAAAGAGCCACGGACUUGUCAAAUCUCCUCCAGACUGUUCCAACUAGCAGCCCAGCAGACUGGAAGAUCUCACCUGAGAGGGAUUCUAACAGGGACAUUCAGUAAUAUCUGGAGCCAUCUGUGCGUAUCGCACUGGCAAAUGGGAGAAGGCAUCUUACUGCAGGCACCACGCCUUCCCCUGGGUAGAAUACUUGUGUUCCCCUCUUUCAUAGGUUGAAAUCCUGGUCCCCAACAUGACGUUAUUAGAAAGCAAGGCCUUUGGGGGUCAAGAGGGUGGAGACCCUAGGAAGAGAUGAGCAUUCACAUAAGAGGGGCCGCUGAUGGCUUUCCUCAUCAUCUCGUGACAGUCCUGCGAGGAGGUGUCAGUCUGUGGGCACGUGGCUCCCAGACUUCCAGUCCUCACAACCAAGAACCGGUUGCCCCAAGCGUCAAGUCUACAGAACGGAGGCGGAGAAGCCAGUUAUGCUUCAUCUCAUAUCUUGCAGCUGUUGUUUCUUCUCCCAGCUGGAGUCGUGGGGGUGACCAGUGGCAGGCGUGUGUCCUUUAAGAAAAAAAGAGAACAACGCAGGGCAGAAACCCAGGUCAACAAACACCUUGGUCAAGUGGCAUGUGGAAACAGCCCAGGCUCUGGAAUCCAGAAGACACUUUCUACACACGAUUUCGAUAUCUUGGCUGUCGGGCUCUGGGCAAGUUAAUCAGACUCUGAUUAGUGCAGCCUGAUUCUUGAGAUAAGAAUCCUGCCUACUUGAUGGUGUAGAUACAAUGACUAGACAUGCCCACAUCUGGGAAAUGGCUACCGGGAAAUGGUCCAUGGACGGUUGCGCACGGGUCCUAUACCUCACAACCUUCCCUCAGCAUUCCCAUUUCCCUUGGCUUGAUGCUAUCCUUCCUACGUCAGGUAGGCAGGACUUUGUUGUCCCUGAUUAGCGAGGCUCUCCUUUGUACACCGAGCCUCCUCCUCUGCUUCCUAACUCCUGGACUUUUGUCCUUCGGGUAUCUGGUCCACUCUAGCUUUCAAACGCUGUUCUAAUACAUUAGAGAUGCCAGUCUGAGUCAUGCUCCGGCUUGCACGGUGACUCCCGGCUGCAGGGCAUCUGGGGGUGUUACCGUGGGUACAGGUCCGUGGAGCAUUUCCAAGGAAGUGUAUGUAUAGAUUUAAGUGAGUCCUGGAUUUGCGUGUCCAUGUGUAUUCCUGUGUCUCAUGUUAUGCAUGCGGCUUGAGGUCACCUCUGCUCCUUUCAACCCUGUUGUCACCAGGCCAGACUGGCCCAGGGCAAACUGAAAAUCUGGACUCUGUGUUCUAGAAUUAUGAAAACUUUCAAGACAGACACAACAAAGCAUGACAUAGAGGGUGGGGGUUCCCCAGGGACAGGCAGUCUGACGCAGGCUCCAGGGUCACUGAUCUGAACGGAGAGAUGUUCUCUUUGGGAUUUCUGAGUUGACUGUCUGGGUGCAUCAGCUAAGGUGAGGACCAGGAAACAGGAAAUACCUCUAUAAAAUUCCGGCCUCCACCCCAACCAUCCCCCACCCCUCCAUCUCCCCCACCCCCUCCCAUCAGUCCUUUGCCUAGGUAAGGUAUCCUAUUACCACUCCUGGGCUCUGCUUUCAGAACAUCAUUCAUCAGCAGGUUUAUGCAGGGCUUUUCUCUUUGUGCACUAAAGCCUCAACCUGCUGACCUGGGCACUGUAUAAACACUUCAAGCAGGUGCCCGAGUGGACCAAGAACCCUGCAUCUCGCAAGCUCUGGCCCAGACUGUUGUUCUGUGGCUGAGAAGCCAGCUGAGGGCUGGCUGAGGCUCUGAAUCCCCCAGUAUCCAGCCUGUACUUUCAGAGUGGCUUCAGUGACCUCUUGGCAAGAAGCCGAGGUAGCACUGCAAUCCCCAGUCACAGUGCUAACAACACCCGAAGUGAGCUAAGCCACCAUCUGGAAGUAGGGAUGAGUAGGGGCCUAACUGUGCUUCUGAUGCAAAUAGAAACCGAAAUCAAAAGGCCUCUUUCUGGGGUUAAUAGAAUGAUUUGGUUAAAAGUUUUGAAGCAUUUUACCACAACCUGUGGCCCCAGCAACAAGCCCUCAGUAUUUGCAUAUAUUUUGAAUGAAAAUUGUCAGGAACAUGCAAACUAGACAGCUAAGUGCAUCUUAUCAGAUGGUUGUGGGGAAUCUUGGAGAGGACCAGACAGGAACAGGUCAGGCCUGAGGCCCUUGGGCUUGAGCGAUCUAUCUGCAUCAGCCUGAUAACUGGCCUUCUCAAUUUCAACAAGCCUUGGCUACUCAAAAAAAAAAAAAAAAAAAAAAAAAAAAAAAAAAAAAAAAAAAAAAAAAAAAAAAAAAACCACCUGCCACAAACUCCAUGGAACCUGGAGAAAGAUAAAGGAGUCUUUAUGUGCCCCUGGUCUGGUUGAGGUCACCUGUAAGGAGUAGGGAGUGGGUGCCCCCCCCACCAGAGACUGAUCCAGUAUGCCAUUCAUUAACCAUGACACAGACACUGAGAGCCCAUUAAGCACAUGGCCUCCUCUUUAGCAUCGGGCUCCUUCAGCUGUGCUUAUAAACAAUAUGCUAUAUACGGACUUUUUUUUUUUUACUUGUUUUCAAGUAUAUUUGCUUAUCACAUUAUAAAGGUCAUGUAAGUUCUUUGCAGGAAAAACAAUCACCAUGCAAAUAUACAAAAUGAAAAAACCAACAAAGAACACAUGCCCCACAAUUCCACUGCCCAAAGGUUUACCAGCUAACUUGCCUCCAUCCUUCUACACUCUACCUUCUCCUCUGUGCUCAUUUCCUGGGGAUUCUAUGUCUGGAUAUGGAGCCCCUUGCUUCCCUUUGUGGCUUUCUUCAGUGUUCACUCUUUUUGGGGAUGAGAAGUGUGCCCAUUAUUGGGAUACACAUUACUGCCUCUCAUAUACCUGGCUCACACUUUCACACUCAAUUCUUGCAACCAGAGGCCCUCCUGACUCUGACAUCUUGUGAUAAUUUUAACAAAGCAUUUCUUUAGCGCCUAUGGCACGGCCGGUUCUUGAACAAGCAUGUCGUGUGACGUAAUCAAUGCAGAAGAGAAAGCUUCACACGACUCACAAACGAAGAAAGUCCGUGUUCAUGUCAAGAUGCUUAGCGUAUUCAAGGGGUAAUAGAGAAGCCAACAAAGUAGACUUGUGCUUUAGAGAAAGGCUCUUGUGGCAUGGGUCUUGUGCCAGGCUUCCUGAAGCAGCUGGGAGCUUGGUUCAGAGAAGUGUCCCUAGCACUAGAGAGUGUGCAUGUCCCUAGACAAACACGGCAAUGGUGAUAACUAUAGUCAGUGUCUCCUGUAUUUUGAGGUCUUGGGCACAUCCCGACAGAAGUAAGGAUACUGGUAAAGUUGGCAUAAUGAGAUUAAGUGCAGUGACAUAUUCCCGAGAUACAAGGAAUGCCAGGAAGUCUAGAGUUACUAGGAUUGUCUCGUUUCUUCUCCUUAAUAGCCUUUGCGAUAGGCGUUUCAUUUUUCUAAGCAUUUUUAUCUCUGAGAGACCAGUGAGAGGCCCAGGGUGAUCGUAUUGCAUAGGCUGAAGAAAGUGAGUAUAAGAGCUUGGAUUUGAACUCUGAUCCCUGAGAUCAGAGAGGAAAUGGAUAAUGGCUUUGCUGUCUCC